This 911-nucleotide ribosomal RNA is filed under the name uncultured bacterium. Its description in RNAcentral is "bacterial SSU rRNA". It matches the Rfam family "Bacterial small subunit ribosomal RNA", at positions 33 to 926 of the family's 1533-position model. The record is from RNAcentral.
ACGCUGGCGGCGUGCCUAAUACAUGCAAGUAGAACGCUGAAGCUUGGUGCUUGCACCGAGCGGAGGAGUUGCGAACGGGUGAGUAACGCGUAGGUAACCUGCCUCUUAGCGGGGGAUAACUAUUGGAAACGAUAGCUAAUACCGCAUAAAAGUCGACAUUGCAUGAUGUUGACUUGAAAGGUGCAACUGCAUCACUAAGAGAUGGACCUGCGUUGUAUUAGCUAGUUGGUGAGGUAACGGCUCACCAAGGCGACGAUACAUAGCCGACCUGAGAGGGUGAUCGGCCACACUGGGACUGAGACACGGCCCAGACUCCUACGGGAGGCAGCAGUAGGGAAUCUUCGGCAAUGGACGGAAGUCUGACCGAGCAACGCCGCGUGAGUGAAGAAGGUUUUCGGAUCGUAAAGCUCUGUUGUAAGAGAAGAACGAGUGUGAGAGUGGAAAGUUCACACUGUGACGGUAACUUACCAGAAAGGGACGGCUAACUACGUGCCAGCAGCCGCGGUAAUACGUAGGUCCCGAGCGUUAUCCGGAUUUAUUGGGCGUAAAGCGAGCGCAGGCGGUUAGAUAAGUCUGAAGUUAAAGGCUGUGGCUUAACCAUAGUACGCUUUGGAAACUGUUUAACUUGAGUGCAGAAGGGGAGAGUGGAAUUCCAUGUGUAGCGGUGAAAUGCGUAGAUAUAUGGAGGAACACCGGUGGCGAAAGCGGCUCUCUGGUCUGUAACUGACGCUGAGGCUCGAAAGCGUGGGGAGCAAACAGGAUUAGAUACCCUGGUAGUCCACGCCGUAAACGAUGAGUGCUAGGUGUUGGGUCCUUUCCGGGACUCAGUGCCGCAGCUAACGCAUUAAGCACUCCGCCUGGGGAGUACGACCGCAAGGUUGAAACUCAAAGGAAUUGACGGGGGCCCGCAC